UAGCUUGGGGGAUAUUGGUAUGACGUCCGCUUGACGUGCGGAAGGUCGCGAGUUCAAUUCUCGCCGGGCCCA
This 72-nucleotide transfer RNA is filed under the name marine sediment metagenome. RNAcentral describes it as "tRNA-Val". The record is from RNAcentral.